AGGAAUUUAGGUUACACCAGACCAAGGGCCUUCAAAGCCCCAAGCAAGUA
RNAcentral lists this transfer RNA (50 nucleotides) under Rhinoceros sondaicus (Javan rhinoceros). Its description in RNAcentral is "partial tRNA-Trp". Lineage: Eukaryota; Metazoa; Chordata; Mammalia; Perissodactyla; Rhinocerotidae. The record is from RNAcentral.